GAUUUUCAAGGAGCAAUGAGAUAAAACUGCUGAGUUUCAGACCUAUUUCCGGCUUUGUAUUUCAACGAUAAAAAUGAGAAGAGAGAAGGAGAUAAUCUGCCAGAAGAUGCUACUGAGGUAGGAGACCCAGACUAGGAAGAAAAUGUAAGGAGUAAUUAGAUGGGGAUGUGUUGCUCAUGUAUGAGAAAGCAGUUACUUCUUAGCUCCCUCUGUGAUCAGUACAGAUAUAACUAAAUGGUCCAGGCAUUUGUUCCAGUUGAUACUGAAUGGGCUUUGCAAAUCCUUCAUAACAUAACCAUGGCAUUUACUGCCAAAGCAUAUAUAUAUUAUGAGAAAUCUAAAGAGAGAGAUGACCAAUUAUUAUGUUGAUGAGCAGCUAGAUACUGACUCUACGUAGCAUCCUCUUUACCCUUCCUUCAAAACAUUACUUUUUCAGGAUAGUAACUUAAUGAUUGUUCCUGUUUUAUGCUAGGCACUCUGUUAAGAGUUUUAUACAGACAUUGUUGUAUUCCACAUUCACUACAGCCUUAAAGAGAAUAGUGUUAUUAUUUCCAUUUUUCAGUUUGGUCUCAGAGAGGUAAACAAUUUGAACAGAAAGUUGCAGAAUUAAGAAUCAAACUCAAAUGCAAGACCCCCAAAAUUAUGUUCUUAGCCUCAAUAAUGGAUUACCCAGUCUCUUGGGUUUAAGUGCCUGGAGAAUUAGUAUCUCUCUAGAAUCUAUAUUCAGUUCUAGUGUCAUUUUUCUAGUUCAUCUUACUUAUUAACUACAUAAUCCUUGAAGCAAAGCAUAAGCAGAUGGUGAAAUGUUGUUACUUUCUUCUAGGUAUGUCUUUGUUUUAAAAAGUUUAUCUCAUUCUCUAGACUACCUAGUCGUAAAAUUUAGGUGGCUAAGUUCAUUCAAAUAACAUGUAUCAAUGAGAGAUAAAAUAUUAUAAUACUGGUUGCUUAACAUGACAAGACUCCUUACAAAGGUAGAUGUUCAUGCAUCUACUAUCCAUUCCUUAACAUUUUCUAGAAAAUAAAAUAGCUGAAACAUUUAAAAUGAGAUAAUAUAAAUUAUAAAUAAAAGGAAUAAAAAAUUUCUUCAGAAUUUCUAAUAUCAAGUCAUUACAGAUUUUUAAUUAAAGUUAGUACCUCUAAACUAUUGCUGUUAGUGGCUAUACAUAAUUGUGCAAAACUUAUGUCUCUUUUCAAAUGAUAAAUUAGGUGUAAUUAAAAUAGUUAUUAAAGAAUAGAGACAUGACAGUGAAAAGUUACUGGGAGUCUCAUAGAGCCACAUAUUUUGUAUAUUCAAAUAAUACAGAUUUUGGGGGUCAAUGACUACAUAAAAACAAAUUAAUAAAUGACCUUUCUGACCUCAAUUUCGUAAUCUUUAAGAGCCAGAGAUAUAAAUAUCCAAUUGAGACUUUGAAGUGUGAGAAGGUCAACGGAGAGAAAAUGAGCAGUGCUUAAGACAAAGCUAAUAUGAUUUAUUAGAGUGUUCAAACUUUACUCUUUGUUCAUGGGGGUCUUCCAGAUUCAGACCAGGAUAGUAUAUACCAUUGAUAUUUGAAAUAUAAAGUCAAGAGUAGAUUUUAAAAGUAGUGUUUAAAAGUGGUUGUUUUUCUCUUAUUCCGGUUUUCUCUUUUUGAAAUUGUAUUGUUAUAAAUUGCAUUUCAACUCAAAUGUUUUAAAAUUUGCAUUGUUGCAUCUACAGAUCUUUUAUGUUGAAGUAAAUUCAUAAGGUUCAUAUAUCCUCAGCUAAGAAAUCUGCAAAACAAUAAGAAGCCCCAAAGGGUUCAAGAAGCCUAAUAAAUAGGGAAAAAUACAUUUAUCUUGAUUUUCUUUUUUUUUCCUCUAAUGCUUCCUUUAGAAAUAUGUUGGAAAGAAAAUUAUUCCUUUGGGCAAAGUUUGUCCCUAGGUUUUAUUGUCUUCCUCAUAUAUACAGUAAAGUGAUUAAUAUUUAUAGGAACCUGGUUUUUAUUUUUAACCCUGGUUUCCCUCAAUCACAGUUUCCACUUAUUAUCAGUAUAUCGAUAUAUUGGAAUUCAGUCUUGUAUUUUAUACUCUGAUACUCUUCCAUGUGUUUCCAUAUUAUAAAACUCCCUGUCUGAGGACUGCUCACUGGAGCUCAAUUUAGAAUUUAGCUGAUGUUCAAAAAGUUAACACCAUUACCAAGGCAAAACCAAAUGAGUAUCAUACUGGAAAAGGUAGGAGAAGCUCUUGGAUUUAGAAUCUCUGAGAUCUUUUUAGCGCAUGCAGCGGGAGAAUAUGAGUGGAAAAGAGAUAAUUAGUAUAGUGUAUUCUGCAGCUGGUGUGGAAAGUGUUUGCCAAGAGUAAAGUAUCCCUCAAUUCAAUAAUGCUACUACAAGUCUAUUUGUAUGAGUAUCUUUUUAAAGUUUUGGUACAUUUUCAAUAAGAAUUAAAACAUGUGGGUUAUUAUUUCAUGUAAUAUGUUUUGAUAGGGUAUUAAGAUACUUCAUUUCAAGCAUUUAGUAACACAUUAAUUACCAUUUUGAACAUCAUAAGUGUAUGAAUGUGUUUAUGUGUAUAUUAGAUACAAAUAUGGUUAAUUAUGUAAGGUGUGUAUGAACAUAUGCAAAGUUCUUUUAUCAGCCGUUCCUAUCUUCAUACCAUAGAGAACAGAAACUGACAUUAAGGAAUUUUCUCCAAAUUAAGUCAUGUUACUUAUUGCUUAUAUUUUCCCAAAUGCUUUGCAACCUGAAAAGAUUUAAGGAUGAAAGAAAAAAUAUUCAUCAAAAAUAUGGCAGUGCUUUUAGAGUCAGCUAUGGUUCCAACAUGGCAUGAACCAGAUUUGUCCAAAUAUCUUGAAUCAUUAUUAUAUUUUGAUGGUGUGUUUAUGUGAGGGGGUAUUUUUUCAUAUCUUUUCUUAGGUGACAUGAAUAUUUAUUGUAAACUUGUAAUAAGUUCAGAUGAAGCAGGAGAGAUAAAUAUUUCUUUUCAUGAUAUCUUAGGCCAGAAUUAAGAAUAUAAUUGAUUAAAUACAUGAUCAAACAUCCAUAAGCAAAUUAAAUUCUAACUACCUUUGUACUCUAUACUUUAUUCCAACAGCUUUAUAAUAUGUAUCUCAUAUUGUGGGAACUUUCUAUUAAUGAGGCAUGCAUCUAAUUGUUGACUAGUCAUUAUCAAUAAUAUUUUGACAGAUAAGCUCCUUUCCUUCCUUCCUUCAGACUCUUAUCCCUCUCUCCUUCCAUUCUCCUUUCUUUCUGUUUAAAUAAAAAGGGCUCAUAAAUUUUUUGUGUGUGAUAUUUUUGUUUGUUUAUAACUUAUCUUUCAUAUACAUUCUUGAAUUUUCCACAGAAAAUACAUUUGCUUUAUAUAUAAAGACAUAUAUCAAAUUUAGAUAUAAUUGAAUAUUUGUUUAGCAAAGAUCUUUUGUAAUUUUUGCAUAUCAAAAGAUAUUGCUUACAUAUUUCAAACUGAGGUUGUUAAAAGUUACUGUUUAUGAAACUGUUAUCACUGAUACCAUCUGGAUAAUGCUUAGAAAUAUAGAGUCUGAGCACAUACAUCAGUUAAGACUAUUUUCUCAUUCCAGGAGGUUGUAAUGAAACUCUAUGUGGAAAUGAGUCUAUAUAAGGAAAGGAUGUUCUUCUAAAUCUAAAGGGGGACAACAGAAGGCAAGUGAAGUGACCAGAAGUUUUAUGGGAUAUGAGAUGAGGAACAGCUAAUAAAAUUAUACCUGCAUGACUCUGCAGGAGAGAAGGGUCAAGAAACUUAAAUGUUAAAUUACCAAAGGAAAUAUUUCAAAGAAAAUUACAGUCUUAAAUGGAAUCAGCCCUUCUUAUAAUUUAGACCUAGAAGCUUGGUGUUUUAAACCCAGAACUGAUGACUGUACUUGUGAAAGUCAGUUUUCAGACAGGAUAAGAUAGCAAUCUGGAUCUCUGGGCUUGAAUGAAAUAUCCUUUGGGUAACAAUUUAAGGAAGAGCUUAAGAAAAUGAGAAAAUAAGAAUCAAAUCUACUGUUACCCACCACCUUAAACAUCUAACAUAACUAGUUGAAUUUUUAUCUCAUGUCAUUCUGGUCCUUGGAAUAAUGCUGCAGUCUCCAUCUCCCAGUACCAGAGAACAGAAUUUCACAAGCUCUUGGGAAUUGUGCGGUUAGAUGGACUAUACUCAGGGUGAUUUUUCAACGGUCUCUGAAAUGGCAUCUCCAUUUUUUCUCUCUUCUCUCUGAGGUAAAAAGAACCACAAUUUCUAUUUUUUUUCCCAAAACACAUUGUCUUUACUUCCAAAAUGUAUAUCCAUAGUCAAAUAAUUUUCUCACAAUGUGUAAGAGCUUGGUUCCCAUUACUUAAUUACUUACUCCCAUAGAUAAGAGUUAGUUGAAUAUUCUGAUAAUUAUAAAUAGAGUCAAGGGCAAAAAAGUCAAGAGAUGGUAUAGCACCCCUGUGAAGAGUACGAAAGUUGAAAAGUCGAGUUUUCUAUCCUGACUUUAAAAUGCAUUAGCUAUGUAACCAUGGAUAGUUUAUUUAACCCUUCUAUGCCUCUCUUCCUCAUCUGUGAUAGAUGGAAGAGCAGUAGUACUCACAUAAAAUCACUGUGGUAAUUAAUUGUGUUACAUGUAUAAAGCACUUUGAAGGUUCCUAUCACAUAGUAUCACUAUAAAAGAUCUUGGUUCUCUUGAUAUUUCAAUUAACCUAUGCAGACUUUGAACACAUUCAUGUAUGAUUUCCAUAAACUUUUAUUUUCUAUAGCUAUUAGAUCUUUUUGAAAAAGAAAAAGAAGAUUACAUGGAUAUAAGAGGUGUCAUAUCAGAAAUCACUAUAAGAGCAUGUACAUUGCUGGAUGGGAGGUUCUAUAAUUGCAUUCAUUUCCAUAUUCUUAUUCUGUAUUACAUGGGACCUAAUAAAUCUGUUGAUGAAUUUGUAUUUUCAUGAUAUUUUUGAGGUAGACAUUAGGUUCAUGAGUUCAUUGUAGAAGAUUCAUGAUGAAAUUUCUUUAUAAAGUUUUAUAAUCUACAGCGUUUUAGUUAGACAUUUAACUUGAUCGUUUGGACUGGUCACCUUGUAGCAACUUGCAUAACUUGUAGUUAACACUGAUUUGCCAUAUUUCCUAAAAGUAGCAGAAAGAGGAAUUGGCCACAAAAUAGAGCUUGAGGAAAGGAUUUAUUUAAUGAAACAAUAGAGAAAUAGUUAUGAACAGAAACUGGGGGGAAAUAAAGGGCACAGAAUAAGCUAAGCUUACACCAUGAGAAUACUUCAUUAGCUUUUCAUCUUUGAUUUAUACCAUGUAUUUGCAAAGUCCUCUAUAAAUUCAAAGUGUAACAUAAAUGAAAGAUUUAUUUAUUUGAUUUUUUACUUGUAGUAUUUUCAUGAUCCAUGUCCCCAGUCUGGCUAUAUCUGUACAAAUGGAAUUAUUAAGACAGGUUUCCAGGUUUUAGCUGCAUUGGCUGAAUAUUUUCUUUCCCAAGGAUGAGAAUAGCAGCACUAUGAGGUUCAAUCUAAUAGCAUUCAGUACACUGAGCCCAUUCUUGAUCAUAAUCAAGCAUUCAGGCUUGUGACAAAGGUUGGCAAAGACCAAUCAGCUGGAACAGAUAGCAUUGUGUACAGUUGGAUCAUGGCAUGGUAUCUAAGGACACAUCAACCAGAACUGAUUAUGUCAAAACAAAAUUCUCUAAGUGAGAGCUAUGGAGUCAGCACUUCCUAAAACAUAAACGGCUUAAAAUGUGCCUGUGUAAGGACUCUAAGGCUUCCCUUAAAUGCUGAAGGGUGACAUUGAAAUGUCUGGUGGCUUCGUUAGACUCUGUGUGUUGAACACAUGAAUAACUCCAUCUCUUUUGUCAGAUCUAGGCAUAUUUCUUCUUAAUAUUUUCUUAAUACCACAUUUCUUUUGAGAUGCUUCAACAAGUUUGUUAACAAGCCUGUGCUCUGCUGUCACAAAACUACUGAGGAAUUUCAUAGGUCAGUUAUUAUGUUCAUGUUAAGUAUAAGGGAAGUAAGGCAUUUAAGGAAUAUGAGGGUGAGGUAGGGGGAAGCAACUCAUUUAUGCAGUGGAAAAUUUCUUAUAUAGUAUGACUCUAAUCUCUUUAUGUUCUGUCAUAAUCACAUACUCUCUGUCACCAGCAUCUUUAAGUGUGCACACAGAAAUAUCAUGCCAUGUUGUUUAUAUUAGUUACAUAAUUUUGUGAUUAAUCCAAAGCAUUUCUCUACUUCAGUCUUUUUGGGAGGAGGACAAUAAAACUACAGAAAAAUCUUGCAUUCAAGAAAGUAUCUCUUGUGUCUCUAUCAAAAUUAAAGAAUUCUCAGAAUAUUUUGAAACAAGGCAUGCUUUUCAUAUCAUAAAGAGAAUUUCCAUUUUACUACUGCUUCUUAUGUCAGUGCACAAUAAUAUCCACAUAGAGGGUGCUUCAUUUCCAGUAGAGUACCAUGGGUUGCAAGUGGGGAAUGAACAGUAUUUUAAAUAAUUAGUUUAAUUUUGUAUGUGUAUUACAGUGGUAAAUUCUAUGAAAUUAUGCAUUUUUAAUGUAAAAGCGUUCUACAGUUGAAUGUAUAUUGAAAUAAUAUAUUUAAAAUAGAUCAAUCUUCUUACCUAUUUACUUUGCUGUACACCUAAAACUAACACGACUUUGUAAGUCAACUAUGCUCCAAUAAAGUUUAUUUUUAAAAAAGUACAAGCAAAAGCAAAAAGAAUUCAGUAUCACCAAAGCAGCUUUACAACUACUAAAGAAACUUCUCUAGGUGGAAAAGAAAAGGCCACAACUAGAAACAAGAAAAUUACAAAUGGGAAAGCUCAAUGGUAAAGGUAAAUAUAAAAUAAACGCAGGAAAUCACUCAUUAACAAACACGAUAUCAAAACUAGCAAGUGUGAGAGGAGGAGAGUAUAAGUGCAAAAUAUUGAAAAUGAAAAUGCAUUUGAAAUUAAGGUAACAGUGACCAAAAACAAUUUUGUUAUACAUAGAUCGCUAUAUCAAAAUUCAGUGGGAAUUGCAACCAAAAAACUAUAAUAAACACAUUCAUGGAAACGAAACAUGUACAUGAAAAACCAAAGAUCAACUUCAGACCUAAGGACACCUCAGACUGAAAGUGAGGAGAUGGAAGAAGGUAUUACAUUCAAAGAG
RNAcentral lists this long non-coding RNA (7057 nucleotides) under Sus scrofa (pig). Its description in RNAcentral is "lncRNA (ENSSSCG00000052954.1)". The record is from RNAcentral. Lineage: Eukaryota; Metazoa; Chordata; Mammalia; Artiodactyla; Suidae.